CUGACGUUAGCGGCGGACGGGUGAGUAACACGUGGAUAACCUACCUAUAAGACUGGGAUAACUUCGGGAAACCGGAGCUAAUACCGGAUAAUAUAUUGAACCGCAUGGUUCAAUAGUGAAAGACGGUUUUGCUGUCACUUAUAGAUGGAUCCGCGCCGCAUUAGCUAGUUGGUAAGGUAACGGCUUACCAAGGCAACGAUGCGUAGCCGACCUGAGAGGGUGAUCGGCCACACUGGAACUGAGACACGGUCCAGACUCCUACGGGAGGCAGCAGUAGGGAAUCUUCCGCAAUGGGCGAAAGCCUGACGGAGCAACGCCGCGUGAGUGAUGAAGGUCUUCGGAUCGUAAAACUCUGUUAUUAGGGAAGAACAAAUGUGUAAGUAACUAUGCACGUCUUGACGGUACCUAAUCAGAAAGCCACGGCUAACUACGUGCCAGCAGCCGCGGUAAUACGUAGGUGGCAAGCGUUAUCCGGAAUUAUUGGGCGUAAAGCGCGCGUAGGCGGUUUUUUAAGUCUGAUGUGAAAGCCCACGGCUCAACCGUGGAGGGU
RNAcentral lists this ribosomal RNA (550 nucleotides) under bacterium BaC2-64. Its description in RNAcentral is "bacterial SSU rRNA". It matches the Rfam family "Bacterial small subunit ribosomal RNA", at positions 86 to 623 of the family's 1533-position model. The record is from RNAcentral.